AGUGAACGCUGGCGGUAGGCCUAACACAUGCAAGUCGAACGGCAGCACAGUAAGAGCUUGCUCUUACGGGUGGCGAGUGGCGGACGGGUGAGGAAUACAUCGGAAUCUACUUUUUCGUGGGGGAUAACGUAGGGAAACUUACGCUAAUACCGCAUACGACCUACGGGUGAAAGCAGGGGAUCUUCGGACCUUGCGCGAUUGAAUGAGCCGAUGUCGGAUUAGCUAGUUGGCGGGGUAAGGGCCCACCAAGGCGACGAUCCGUAGCUGGUCUGAGAGGAUGAUCAGCCACACUGGAACGGAGACACGGUCCAGACUCCUACGGGAGGCAGCGGUGUGGAAUAUUGGACAAUGGGCGCAAGCCUGAUCCAGCCAUACCGCGUGGGUGAAGAAGGCCUUCGGGUUGUAAAGCCCUUUUGUUGGGAAAGAAAAGCAGCAGGUUAAUACCCCGCUGUUCUGACGGUACCCAAAGAAUAAGCACCGGCUAACUUCGUG
This 492-nucleotide ribosomal RNA is filed under the name uncultured bacterium. RNAcentral's name for it is "partial 16S ribosomal RNA". It matches the Rfam family "Bacterial small subunit ribosomal RNA", at positions 29 to 507 of the family's 1533-position model. The record is from RNAcentral.